UUAACUCAAUUUUGUAUGGAGUUAGAACGUUUGCCUACAUUUGCCGCUAGGGGCGCUGUUCCAAGUGCAUACAAAUUUGAGUGA
This 84-nucleotide microRNA precursor is filed under the name Bombyx mori (domestic silkworm). RNAcentral describes it as "mir-2807 microRNA precursor family". It matches the Rfam family "mir-2807 microRNA precursor family". The record is from Rfam by way of RNAcentral. Lineage: Eukaryota; Metazoa; Arthropoda; Insecta; Lepidoptera; Bombycidae.